This 73-nucleotide transfer RNA is filed under the name Trichonephila clavata. It matches the Rfam family "tRNA". From Rfam's summary of the family: Transfer RNA (tRNA) molecules are approximately 80 nucleotides in length. Their secondary structure includes four short double-helical elements and three loops (D, anti-codon, and T loops). The record is from Rfam by way of RNAcentral. Lineage: Eukaryota; Metazoa; Arthropoda; Arachnida; Araneae; Nephilidae.
AUCCCUGUAGCACAAUGGAUAGCGCGUUGGACUUCUAAUCCAAUGGUCGUGGGUGCGAAUCGCAACUGGGAUG